CCAGCCUCCCCUGCCCACCCGGGCCCCACAAGAGUCCGAUCCCGAUCUUCCGAGAGCGUCGAUCCGCGGGAUCCCGGAGCCCGACCUGCGCGGAUCUCCAAGCCGGGAGCCGCGGACAGAGCUUAAGAAAACAAACAAACAAACAAACAAAAAUGCAGAGCACUGGGCCUUUGUGUGAUGUCACAGAUCCACUCAGUUCACCCACCUGGAACAACCUGUCUGAAUUUCUUUUUGUGGAUUAUAUUGUUCCUGUUUUUGAAACAUGUGUUGGUUUAGUUAUUUGUAGCCAAAUCCUCCCUGUUACACAAAAAUAAAAAUCAAAAAUUUAAAAAAUUUCAA
Molecule: long non-coding RNA, 339 nt
Organism: Peromyscus californicus insignis
Lineage: Eukaryota; Metazoa; Chordata; Mammalia; Rodentia; Cricetidae
Exons: 2
Source: RefSeq, a predicted model, not a curated record